RNAcentral lists this transfer RNA (73 nucleotides) under Tetranychus urticae (two-spotted spider mite). RNAcentral's name for it is "tRNA tetur18g03671". It matches the Rfam family "tRNA". Rfam says of the family: Transfer RNA (tRNA) molecules are approximately 80 nucleotides in length. Lineage: Eukaryota; Metazoa; Arthropoda; Arachnida; Trombidiformes; Tetranychidae. The record is from Rfam by way of RNAcentral.
GUUUCCGUGGUGUAGUGGUUAUCACGUUUGCUUUACACGCAAAAGGUCCCCGGUUCGAGCCCGGGCGGAAACA